UUGGUGUCAAACUGUGUCAAGUUGUACAUUUUCUUAUUACUUGUUAUUUGAUCACUUGUACAAAUUUUUUUAAAUGACUUUUUCCAGAUCGUUCUUUCUGAUUUUGGGACUGGGGUGCAACAUCUGAAGCUUACAACCAUUAUGUUUCAGAACAUCUUUCCAGCCAUUAAUGUUAACACUAACCAUCAAGUUCCUGAUUUAAGAAGUCUUCAAGACGUGAGCGAUUUUGUCACCAAGUGUGUGUCACUCUCUUUCUCUCUCCCCCUUGAUUUUGUUGGCGGGAAGUCAAAAGUUGAAGUGAGCUGUGACUUAAGUGACUGACAAUUUGCUAAUCAGCCUGCUAUAGAUCUGAUACCAUGGGUUUAAGUAUAUACUUUUGUCUUUCAUGUCUGUUUUCUAUCAUGGUUUUCAUAGCAUAUGAUCAGCAGUAAAGGUCAAGUUAUAGUAGUUUUGUUGGUUAUCUGAUUCAAUAGGCUAAUCCACUCAACAAAGCUUUGUCCCAAUUACUUGGGACUCAGCCAUGCGAAUCCUGUUUUUUCCAUUCAGCUUGAUCAAGGGCCACAGUUUCAGUUAAAUCACUAGCUAUUAGCUAAUGUGUUAUCCAAUUCAAUAUAAUGUAUAAAGUGAUAACGGUAGAAUAUAUAUCAUCUGUAUCCAUAUUAAAUAUCAAACAGUUCAAGGAAACUUUCUAUGUGACUCGUAAUUGUUUCUUAGUCUUUUGUGUGUUGUGAUCAUUAGAGGUAUGAUUACAAGGAAAUCAGAAGUUAGGAUGGUCUAGCUACAAAUUGAUCAACCAAUUUUUAAAUUUUAUGUCAGUUUGGAUGUUGAUCAUUCUUGCUCUCCUCUUUUCCCCUGAAGGGCUGGUUAUGGAUCAGAAAGCGAAGCAGAUGAGGCAGCAACUGUAAGUCUAGCAAGUGAUCUUGGUAGGGUUAACCGAGCUUCUACAAAAAGUGCUGUCAAGCUUCAAGAGAUUGGUCCUGGGUUGACUCUUCACCUCAUCAAAAUUGAGGAAGGAUUGUGUUCUGGUGGAGUCAUAUUCAGUGAAUAUGGCAGAUUGCAUACUUAAUUCAAUUGGCAUGUAAACCCACCCUCUCAAAGAGUAAAUAUCGAGUGCAAUGGUGACAGCUUCCUACUAGUGUCACUGGCCAAUAAAAUACCGCAAACGGAAUUAGAAAAUCAUGGUGGAAAGAAAACGCACCAAGAGGAAGAGGAUGAGGAAGAAGUUGAGGAAGAAAUGGUGGAAGAUUAGCUCCCAGCUCUUUGUUUGUGGACACUUUGUUUAAUGGUUGUUGAGUCGAGCAGUUAGGUGGCUCAUUUUUAUUUUAUCUUAUUUUUGUUUUUUGGAAACAGUUCUACAGGGUGCCAAUCUUGAUGAGCUUCCAAUUUUGUCAUUGAAGAUCUAAAUAUAGCUUGAUAAUACCUUUUUUGUUUUCUUGUGCUCACGGAAAAUGAGUUGUAGAUUCAAUUCGAAGAGAAGUGAAAGUUUUAAGUUCGAUUAUGAAUAUCUUAAAUUCUAUA
Non-coding RNA from Camellia sinensis, 1518 nucleotides. The record is from RefSeq and is a predicted model, not a curated record. NCBI's taxonomy places the organism in Eukaryota, Viridiplantae, Streptophyta, Magnoliopsida, Ericales, Theaceae.